UGAGUUUGAUCAUGGCUUAGAUUGAACGCUGGCGGCAGGCUUAACACAUGCAAGUCGAGCGGAGAGAGGUAGCUUGCUACUGAUCUUAGCGGCGGACGGGUGAGUAAUGCUUAGGAAUCUGCCUAUUAGUGGGGGACAACAUUUCGAAAGGAAUGCUAAUACCGCAUACGUCCUACGGGAGAAAGCAGGGGAUCUUCGGACCUUGCGCUAAUAGAUGAGCCUAAGUCGGAUUAGCUAGUUGGUGGGGUAAAGGCCUACCAAGGCGACGAUCUGUAGCGGGUCUGAGAGGAUGAUCCGCCACACUGGGACUGAGACACGGCCCAGACUCCGACGGGAGGCAGCAGUGGGGAAUAUUGGACAAUGGGCGCAAGCCUGAUCCAGCCAUGCCGCGUGUGUGAAGAAGGCCUUAUGGUUGUAAAGCACUUUAAGCGAGGAGGAGGCUACUUUAGUUAAUACCUAGAGAUAGUGGACGUUACUCGCAGAAUAAGCACCGGCUAACUCUGUGCCAGCAGCCGCGGUAAUACAGAGGGUGCAAGCGUUAAUCGGAUUUACUGGGCGUAAAGCGCGCGUAGGCGGCUAAUUAAGUCAAAUGUGAAAUCCCCGAGCUUAACUUGGGAAUUGCAUUCGAUACUGGUUAGCUAGAGUGUGGGAGAGGAUGGUAGAAUUCCAGGUGUAGCGGUGAAAUGCGUAGAGAUCUGGAGGAAUACCGAUGGCGAAGGCAGCCAUCUGGCCUAACACUGACGCUGAGGUGCGAAAGCAUGGGGAGCAAACAGGAUUAGAUACCCUGGUAGUCCAUGCCGUAAACGAUGUCUACUAGCCGUUGGGGCCUUUGAGGCUUUAGUGGCGCAGCUAACGCGAUAAGUAGACCGCCUGGGGAGUACGGUCGCAAGACUAAAACUCAAAUGAAUUGACGGGGGCCCGCACAAGCGGUGGAGCAUGUGGUUUAAUUCGAUGCAACGCGAGGAACCUUACCUGGCCUUGACAUAGUAAGAACUUUCCAGAGAUGGAUUGGUGCCUUCGGGAACUUACAUACAGGUGCUGCAUGGCUGUCGUCAGCUCGUGUCGUGAGAUGUUGGGUUAAGUCCCGCAACGAGCGCAACCCUUUUCCUUAUUUGCCAGCGAGUAAUGUCGGGAACUUUAAGGAUACUGCCAGUGACAAACUGGAGGAAGGCGGGGACGACGUCAAGUCAUCAUGGCCCUUACGGCCAGGGCUACACACGUGCUACAAUGGUCGGUACAAAGGGUUGCUACCUAGCGAUAGGAUGCUAAUCUCAAAAAGCCGAUCGUAGUCCGGAUUGGAGUCUGCAACUCGACUCCAUGAAGUCGGAAUCGCUAGUAAUCGCGGAUCAGAAUGCCGCGGUGAAUACGUUCCCGGGCCUUGUACACACCGCCCGUCACACCAUGGGAGUUUGUUGCACCAGAAGUAGCUAGCCUAACUGCAAAGAGGGCGGUUACCACGGUGUGGCCGAUGACUGGGGUGAAGUCGUAACAAGGUAACCAA
This 1501-nucleotide ribosomal RNA is filed under the name Acinetobacter sp. 22. RNAcentral describes it as "bacterial SSU rRNA". It matches the Rfam family "Bacterial small subunit ribosomal RNA". The record is from RNAcentral. Lineage: Bacteria; Pseudomonadati; Pseudomonadota; Gammaproteobacteria; Moraxellales; Moraxellaceae.